AUUGAACGCUGGCGGCAUGCCUUACACAUGCAAGUCGAACGGCAGCACGGGAGCAAUCCUGGUGGCGAGUGGCGAACGGGUAAGUAAAGUAUCGGAACGUGCCCAGUCGUGGGGGAUAACGUAGCGAAAGUUACGCUACUACCGCAUACGAUCUAUGGAUGAAAGCGGGGGAUCGCAAGACCUCGCGCGAUUGGAGCGGCCGAUAUCAGAUUAGGUAGUUGGUGGGGUAAAGGCUCACCAAGCCGACGAUCUGUAGCUGGUCUGAGAGGACGACCAGCCACACUGGGACUGAGACACGGCCCAGACUCCUACGGGAGGCAGCAGUGGGGAAUUUUGGACAAUGGGCGAAAGCCUGAUCCAGCCAUGCCGCGUGCAGGAUGAAGGCCUUCGGGUUGUAAACUGCUUUUGUACGGAACGAAAAGGUUUGGCCUAAUAAGCUGAGCUCAUGACGGUACCGUAAGAAUAAGCACCGGCUAACUACGUGCCAGCCGCCGCGGUAA
RNAcentral lists this ribosomal RNA (500 nucleotides) under uncultured bacterium. RNAcentral's name for it is "partial 16S ribosomal RNA". It matches the Rfam family "Bacterial small subunit ribosomal RNA", at positions 30 to 523 of the family's 1533-position model. The record is from RNAcentral.